CGAGGCCGACCCCCUGCCCGCUAUGGGGAGUGGACAGCCCGAGGACGUUCUAGGGACUAGAACGGAUUGGCGGGGGAGGAUGUCACAAGGUGACGAUCUUUAGGGGCGGAACCAAAAUUCGGGAAGUUUGGUUCCGCCCGGAAGUGUUUCCGCCCGGACCGGAAAAAAACAGAACACCGGAACUUCCGGUAGCGCCGUAAGAAGGAAAAAUCAGGGAAUUCGAUGCACCUGUGCCUAGUUAGGGACAGCGGUUGGUGAUUGGAGGAUACGCUGGACAAGGCAGUACUUAAGGCCAAGUUAUUUCACAGUCUGGGAGCUCUUUCUGGCUGGAAUUGUAUGAUUGUGAAGACAUCGCGAACCUUAAAGGUUGAGAAGUGAACGGAUUAUACGGCGAACUGAGACGACGUGAAAAAAAGGGGAUUGGAAGCGGCAUUGAUGUGAGUACUAAGAGCCAGUCGAAAGUGCCCUGUAUAUUGACCUGGCGUUGUGUAGAUCUCUCCAGGAGGAGGAGGGCGGCCCUACCCCUAAUAUAGCGUGGUGGGAGAGCCGAAGGAAUACUUAUUGAAGUAGUCACAACGACGACAUCACUAGCUAGGCCGCAUAUUCCAUCGCCAGAUCCGAACCAAGCGAAGUGAAGGAAGACGGGUGUCCUUUUCGUACACUGAGUGUGGUGGGUGAGUCUUCGUGCUGUGAAAACCUAUAAUUUUGACGUGGUGUUGUAUAUUGCUGUGGGCUGCUGUGUAUUGCCGUGUGUCCUGUCAGAUAAACCCCCGCCUUCACGCACUUCGUCGCGGGAGGACAAGGAGACUGCUGGUCCUAGCCUAGUUCAGUACAGUAUAUGUUGUGAGCGUGCUUCAGAUCUCCGGAGAUAGCACGGUACGCUGUGUCCAGCCCAGAGGUGAAAGCCAUCCAAAGCAGAGUAACUGUGCUUUGUGUCCAAGUUGAUACCUGUGGAGAGGAAAGGAAAGAGAGAGUGAGUAACACAAGGAGAACCAGAGGGAACCUGUACUUACAGUACGCUGUGUUCAGCCCAGAGUUGAUACCUGUGGAGAGAAAAGGAGAGAGAGUGGGUAACACGAGGAGAGACCGAGGAAAACUGUACUUACGCCGCUACCUGUGGAGAAAGAGAAAGCGAGUGAGCACCCAAGGAACGAACUGUGUGAACCAGUACUUACCGUGAGCUGUAUUCAGCGAAGAGGAGGAAGAAGGAGGGCGCUACGGAUACCUAAGACUCAGGCCGGGGCCCGAGUCCCACGCCCCGGAUCCCCGUGGCCCCCUUUCUCCCUGACCUCUUCCCGGCCAUAGCCCAUCUGGAGGGCCGAGUCAGAGUUUAGUUUUAAUUGCCCUUUCCCUAUUCCCCAAGCUAUUUUUAAAUAUUUAAAUAAAGAUUGUUUUAUCAUUUAUUUGUUCUCGUGUUGUUUGGCCAUUGGGUUGGCUUUGGGGACCUCCUCGAGGUGGAAGU
Cyprinus carpio carpio is the source of this 1462-nucleotide long non-coding RNA. Lineage: Eukaryota; Metazoa; Chordata; Actinopteri; Cypriniformes; Cyprinidae. The record is from Ensembl.